AUGGUAACUGCUGCUUAAAUGUGAGCCCCACAUGUCUUAGAUUCUCUGUUGACGCUCUGUUCAAACCUGCUGUUAACAUCCGACCUGAGCGAUCCGAUCACACGUGUUCAGAUUACACCUGCUACUGCUGCUAAUGUGACGUCACUGCUCCUCAGUAAACACACGAUCACCGUCUAACCAUCAGGUGCAGGAGGACCUGGCUGACCUGGAGGAGGACGAGGAGCAGCACGGACAAAUGUGUGGUAACUGAUGCUUAAAAAUGAUCCACACAUUUAUUAGAUGUUCUGUUGAUGCUCUGUUCACACCUGCUGUUAACAUCUGAUCCGAGUCAUCCGAUCACAGUUGUUCAGAUUACACCUGCUACUGCUAUUGCUAAUAUCACGUCAAAUGAUGAUUCUCAAAUGUCUUUUUUUAUCCACCAACCAAAAAUUAUUCAGUUUUAAUUCCUUCUUUGUUACAAGGAACAAUGAAACCAGAAAAAGUUCAACAUUUAUAAUAAAAAACAAACAAUUAAUCCAUUAUUAAAGUAUUUGACAAUUCAUUUAGUUAUCGUUUAAUAAUGCUGUAAUCGUUGCAUCCCUACUUUAUAUAUAUAUUUUUUUUAAAUCAUCAGAGACAUCAUAUGAUUUAUUGCGAUACUUGCAAAAUCAUACAUUGUGAUACAUUGUGAUACACUGACACAACAGUGACCACUUGGCACCAUCUAGUGGACUGAAAGGUUCAUUUAUUUUGUUUAUUUGUAAUGCUAAUCCACAAAAAAGUUUGACGUUUAUUUAUAACAUCAGUUCAAAACAUUGUUAUGGAACAAACCAUGACUCUUUCACCUGUCAUUUCAUCACCUCACACGGACGAUGUUAACAGCACUUGUCAACAGAGCCUCUGUUUAAUGUGUGCACAUCAUUUUUACAUUGUUAACAGGUGAAAACUAGGGACCACUCAAAGUCACAAAAUUCUAUCAAUAAAUACACCAUUCAAUAAUGA
Molecule: long non-coding RNA, 981 nt
Organism: Solea solea (common sole)
Lineage: Eukaryota; Metazoa; Chordata; Actinopteri; Pleuronectiformes; Soleidae
Exons: 2
Source: RefSeq, a predicted model, not a curated record